RNAcentral lists this ribosomal RNA (468 nucleotides) under uncultured bacterium. Its description in RNAcentral is "partial 16S ribosomal RNA". It matches the Rfam family "Bacterial small subunit ribosomal RNA", at positions 28 to 507 of the family's 1533-position model. The record is from RNAcentral.
GACGAACGCUGGCGGCGUGCUUAACACAUGCAAGUCGAACGGAAAGGCCCUGCUUUUGUGGGGUGCUCGAGUGGCGAACGGGUGAGUAACACGUGAGUAACCUGCUCUUGAUUUUGGGAUAACUUCAGGAAACUGGGGCUAAUACCGGAUAGGAGCUCCUGCUGCAUGGUGGGGGUUGGAAAGUUUCGGCGGUUGGGGAUGGACUCGCGGCUUAUCAGCUUGUUGGUGGGGUAGUGGCUUACCAAGGCAUUGACGGGUCGCCGGCCUGAGAGGGUGACCGGCCACAUUGGGACUGAGAUACGGCCCAGACUCCUACGGGAGGCAGCAGUGGGGAAUCUUGCACAAUGGGCGGGAGCCUGAUGCAGCAGCGCCGCGUGCGGGAUGACGGCCUUCGGGUUGUAAAACGCUUUCGCCUGAGACGAAGCGUGAGUGACGGUAAUGGGUAAAGAAGCACCGGCUAACUACGUG